ACGGAAGGCAGCAGUGAGGAAUAUUGGUCAAUGGGCGGAAGCCUGAACCAGCCAAGUCGCGUGAAGGAUGAAGGUAUUAUGUAUUGUAAACUUCUUUAGACGCAGAGAAAUAAGAGGGUCGUGACCCUUGAUGCUAGUAUGCGUAGAAUAAGGAUCGGCUAACUCCGUGCCAGCAGCCGCGGUAAUACGGAGGAUCCGAGCGUUAUCCGGAUUUAUUGGGUUUAAAGGGUGCGCAGGCGGGGCGCUAAGUCAGCGGUGAAAGGCGACGGCUCAACCGGAGCAGUGCCGUUGAUACUGGUGUCCUUGAAUGCGGUCGAGGCCGGCGGAAUGUGGCGUGUAGCGGUGAAAUGCAUAGAUAUGCCACAGAACCCCGAUAGCGAAGGCAGCUGGCCGGGCCUGCAUUGACGCUGAGGCACGAAAGCGUGGGGAUCGAACAGGAUUAGAUACCCUGGUA
Molecule: ribosomal RNA, 454 nt
Filed under: uncultured Parapedobacter sp.
Lineage: Bacteria; Pseudomonadati; Bacteroidota; Sphingobacteriia; Sphingobacteriales; Sphingobacteriaceae
Description: partial 16S ribosomal RNA
Rfam family: Bacterial small subunit ribosomal RNA
Source: RNAcentral